RNAcentral lists this long non-coding RNA (882 nucleotides) under Pan troglodytes (chimpanzee). RNAcentral describes it as "lincRNA". The record is from RNAcentral. Lineage: Eukaryota; Metazoa; Chordata; Mammalia; Primates; Hominidae.
AUCUUGAAAACGGAAAAUAAAAACAGCAGACCUAUGAAGGUCGAAGGGGAAGAAAAGCUGUAUCGAUUGUUGAGAUCUGGCGACUUGUUUAAAUUUCAUCAGCCUCACUUCUAUGAACUCUCAGGGUCCUCGUAAGGAUUUCCAUUUUAUGUUCUUGUCUUCUCAUCAGUUUGAGUUGUGUCUUUAACAUUGGAGAGAAAAACAACUUGCAAGAUUUUCUUUCAGUAUGAACCAUUCUGAGGUCCUUCAAUUCUUUAGCUGAUUACCAACUCCUACCACUGUUAACCCUCAUCCAGGAAAAAGCUUAUGUCUUUAACAUUCUGAGUGGGCUUCAGCAUCCUUGCAUAUGUUCAAUUCUUAAAAACCUGUUGAAAUAAAAGAUCAGGAGACAUAGGAAGGAUGCCAGAAGAGAGCGUGGCCUCAUGUGUACCAGCUCUCUGCUCUCCUUUGCCUUGGGACGUUCCAUCCCUGGAAGUUUCCCUGCCCACAUCUUUGUAGAGAGUCCAUUCUCCAAGCUUCAGUGUGUCAUCUGUGAGGACUGUGACCAACCUGGUACAUCGCCUCAGGGCAUUCAUUUCAGGCUCCUUCUAAAUGGUCAAGUUUUCAAGAUUGUUUUGGCUCUAGCAAAACAAGUUGGAACAUUCACAUCAUCCAUCUUCUGUCAGCCUAACAAGCAUAGCAAGAAGAUAUAGCCCCACAACCACUUUAUGCACAAAGUUAGAAGCAUAAAAUCUCAUGGAAAGAGACCGAUUAUCCACAGAAGAGGUUGUCUUGCCAUUUCUCUCAUGUUAGAGGUAAACCUCAGGUUCUCCUCCUGCCUUUUGCUAAGUAUAUGUCUUGAUGACAAGCCUUCUGCUGAUGAGCUGUGUUUCUGGACCGAUC